ACUUUUAACAAUGGAUCUCUAGACUCUCAUAUCGAUGGAGAACACAGUGAAAUGUGAUAAUUAAUGUGAAUUGCAGAAUUCAGUGAAUCAUCAAGUUUUUGAACGCACCUUGCACCUUUUGGUGUUCCAAAAGGUACACCUGUUUGAGUGUCA
Molecule: ribosomal RNA, 153 nt
Filed under: Phakopsora pachyrhizi
Lineage: Eukaryota; Fungi; Basidiomycota; Pucciniomycetes; Pucciniales; Phakopsoraceae
Description: 5.8S ribosomal RNA
Rfam family: 5.8S ribosomal RNA
About the family: 5.8S ribosomal RNA (5.8S rRNA) is a component of the large subunit of the eukaryotic ribosome. It is transcribed by RNA polymerase I as part of the 45S precursor that also contains 18S and 28S rRNA.
Source: RNAcentral